Molecule: long non-coding RNA, 1623 nt
Organism: Lycium ferocissimum
Lineage: Eukaryota; Viridiplantae; Streptophyta; Magnoliopsida; Solanales; Solanaceae
Exons: 3
Source: RefSeq, a predicted model, not a curated record
ACCUGUACUGGUGAGAGGUAAUAGACACUUGGUGAAAUUAGUCGAAGUGUGCAAAAAUUGGUUCAGACAUAUUUUUGAUAUUUGAGCAAGAGCCCUUCCACACGGAUUUUCGAACACUAUAUAAGACCUACUUUUCUUUGUUCGACCAUUUGUUGUGUAGUUUUAACAAACCAAUAUGAAUGCUAAUUACAUCACCAUCAGCACUAACGAAUGAAAACAUGUUGCACUUUCAUAUUAAAAUUUAAAAUGUUAAUCUUUCAUUCACAAUAAAACAAAGCUUGGGGCACAAAUACAUUAAUCUCUUAUCACCGAUAUCCUUUAACCUCAUGAACAUGGUAAAAAUUUAUCAAAUUCAAGUCCUGAAGUUUUGGUUCAAUUUCUUUUUUUUUUUUUUUUUUUUUUGGGGGGAUAUGAAUAACUACAAAAACAUAUGCUGCAUGUUGAAUUUGGAUUGUCAGUCCAGCCUGGUAAAUGUGAUGCUAUCUGAGACCACCUGCAUACGAAUAGCUGAUCUACAACAACAAUUUACGCUUUAUAGCAAGCUUGAUAUGAUAAUCUGAAUAAGAAUUUAACUUAUAUACACUUACGUGUGAAAAGUUCUUACAUUUACAAAAAUUCUGACCGACCAAUUCAGCCAAAUUUCCCAUCAAAGUAUCAGUUUGCUCUUAUUCUACCAUGGAGGUACAAAAGAAAGGCAAAGGCCUAAUGAAGAAUAUAAAUCUAGAUACGUUCCUUUUUAAUCCAGAGACGUUGAAGUUUAUUGAACACAUCUUUGGUGGAGCCAAACUUGUUCCUACUACUCAACCUAGAAUUUAUAACAUCACUGGUCAUGCAGACCAAAUAGACCGUGUCUAGUCCUGGAUUAAUCGUAUUUGUUUUCGCGAUGUAAGAUAUAUUUAUUAUAAUGGGGUAAUUUUAUUUAUAUGUACGCCAUGUGCGUGAACCAGAUUUAUUUAUUUUUUGAAAUAUAUAGGGCCCUUGUCGUCUAGACUACGAUCUUGAUUCUCCAGAUUAUGAUCCAACUCAUCAUGAACAUAUACCUGGGUUUGACAUUUUUUUUUUUGCUGAUGUCCCCGACAACCUGAAGCUGAAAUUUGGAAGUCAUAUUCAAGUUGAGGUGAUUCCUCUGUGGACAUCUGAGCGCUCACAAAAAGAAUAAUUUGACGCGUGCCCAACGGAACUGGUUGGGGAUGCAUUCCGAAAGCUGGCUCACAUAUUGCGUGAUGGUGAUAACUUUGGUUCCUACUACGCACGUAAGGCCGGGGGUUAUUACAAGGGAAGUUUUUACAACGAAGCUGAUGAGGAGGAAGAGAAGAAGCAGAAGGAGGAUUUUUCUCCUGGUCCAGCUCCCUCAGCUGUUGUUGCUGAUUUUUCUCCAAGUCUCUCUGUGAUCAUGAUCGCAUUGCUCGUUCCGUUUUUUUCUCUCUUUCUUCUACUAGAUAUUCAUAGAUUUGUAUAAUUUGUCUUUGUUCAUGGUGAUUGUGAGAUUAGAGCUACAUGAACGAUGAUGCCUCUUUGGUACAUCAUAUUUAUUUCGUUGUGUUUCUUUGAUGGUUGUUUUGUUUUGUAAUAAAUUUGAAUUAGUCAUCGACUAUAUGAAUCCUUAUUGAUCAUGUUUCUUCA